This 572-nucleotide ribosomal RNA is filed under the name Saccharomyces cerevisiae (brewer's yeast). RNAcentral describes it as "partial large subunit ribosomal RNA". It matches the Rfam family "Eukaryotic large subunit ribosomal RNA", at positions 49 to 635 of the family's 3401-position model. The record is from RNAcentral. Lineage: Eukaryota; Fungi; Ascomycota; Saccharomycetes; Saccharomycetales; Saccharomycetaceae.
AGCGGAGGAAAAGAAACCAACCGGGAUUGCCUUAGUAACGGCGAGUGAAGCGGCAAAAGCUCAAAUUUGAAAUCUGGUACCUUCGGUGCCCGAGUUGUAAUUUGGAGAGGGCAACUUUGGGGCCGUUCCUUGUCUAUGUUCCUUGGAACAGGACGUCAUAGAGGGUGAGAAUCCCGUGUGGCGAGGAGUGCGGUUCUUUGUAAAGUGCCUUCGAAGAGUCGAGUUGUUUGGGAAUGCAGCUCUAAGUGGGUGGUAAAUUCCAUCUAAAGCUAAAUAUUGGCGAGAGACCGAUAGCGAACAAGUACAGUGAUGGAAAGAUGAAAAGAACUUUGAAAAGAGAGUGAAAAAGUACGUGAAAUUGUUGAAAGGGAAGGGCAUUUGAUCAGACAUGGUGUUUUGUGCCCUCUGCUCCUUGUGGGUAGGGGAAUCUCGCAUUUCACUGGGCCAGCAUCAGUUUUGGUGGCAGGAUAAAUCCAUAGGAAUGUAGCUUGCCUCGGUAAGUAUUAUAGCCUGUGGGAAUACUGCCAGCUGGGACUGAGGACUGCGACGUAAGUCAAGGAUGCUGGCAUAAU